This 465-nucleotide ribosomal RNA is filed under the name uncultured Klebsiella sp. Its description in RNAcentral is "bacterial SSU rRNA". It matches the Rfam family "Bacterial small subunit ribosomal RNA", at positions 338 to 795 of the family's 1533-position model. The record is from RNAcentral. Lineage: Bacteria; Pseudomonadati; Pseudomonadota; Gammaproteobacteria; Enterobacterales; Enterobacteriaceae.
CCUACGGGGGGCAGCAGUGGGGAAUAUUGCACAAUGGGCGCAAGCCUGAUGCAGCCAUGCCGCGUGUGUGAAGAAGGCCUUCGGGUUGUAAAGCACUUUCAGCGGGGAGGAAGGCGUUAAGGUUAAUAACCUUGGCGAUUGACGUUACCCGCAGAAGAAGCACCGGCUAACUCCGUGCCAGCAGCCGCGGUAAUACGGAGGGUGCAAGCGUUAAUCGGAAUUACUGGGCGUAAAGCGCACGCAGGCGGUCUGUCAAGUCGGAUGUGGAAUCCCCGGGCUCAACCUGGGAACUGCAUUCGAAACUGGCAGGCUAGAGUCUUGUAGAGGGGGGUAGAAUUCCAGGUGUAGCGGUGAAAUGCGUGGAGAUCUGGAGGAAUACCGGUGGCGAAGGCGGCCCCCUGGACAAAGACUGACGCUCAGGUGCGAAAGCGUGGGGAGCAAACAGGAUUAGAUACCCCAGUAGUC